GAGGAUGUAAUUAUUUCGAUGGAAUUUAUGCUUUGGAGUUGAUUAAUUAAUGCAUCUUUGAAAAAUGGAUACUUGACUAUAACCUAUCAUUUGGGUGGGGUUUAUUUUAACGGAUAAUAUGGAAUUAUUUUGUUUUGUCAACUCUAACAGAAGCUAUUAUCAUGGAUAUAGUUGUUUAUAAAACAACAAUUAGUGAGCAAACCACCAUUGCCAAAACCAAAGGCGCACUAUGUUCGCAUCUUUAGGAACAGAAAACAAUUGGGAAAGGAUGCGAGAGCAUUAUUAUACAGUCAAAAUAUCUCAUGAAUAUGCUCAUGUAUCUUUGACUGUUUUUCUCUGAAAAGGUAGAAUUGAAUAUUGUUAUUCAAAUGUAGCUAAUCACUAAA
Molecule: long non-coding RNA, 386 nt
Filed under: Brassica napus (rape)
Lineage: Eukaryota; Viridiplantae; Streptophyta; Magnoliopsida; Brassicales; Brassicaceae
Description: long non-coding RNA (BNAP_LNC003143)
Source: RNAcentral